RNAcentral lists this non-coding RNA (29 nucleotides) under Mus musculus (house mouse). Lineage: Eukaryota; Metazoa; Chordata; Mammalia; Rodentia; Muridae. The record is from RNAcentral.
UCUAGAUCAACAGCCACUUGAGUUUAUAU